This 811-nucleotide ribosomal RNA is filed under the name uncultured bacterium. Its description in RNAcentral is "bacterial SSU rRNA". It matches the Rfam family "Bacterial small subunit ribosomal RNA", at positions 8 to 796 of the family's 1533-position model. The record is from RNAcentral.
AGAGUUUGAUCWUGGCUCAGAACGAACGCUGKCGGCGUGCCUAWCACAUGCAAGUCGAACGGAGAUAAGGGGCUUGCUCCUUAUYUUAGKGGCGCACGGGUGAGUAACGCGUGGAUAAUCUGCCUUGGAAUCUGGGAUAACAUCUCGAAAGGGGUGCUAAUACCGGAUAAGACCACGAGCUCUUCGGRGUUUGCGGUAAAAGGGGGCCUCUGUAUAUGCUUCUGUUUCAAGAUGAGUCCGCGUACCAUUAGCUAGUUGGCAGGGUAAUGGCCUACCAAGGCGACGAUGGUUAGCUGGUCUGAGAGGAUGAUCAGCCACACUGGAACYGAGACACGGUCCAGACUCCUACGGGAGGCAGCAGUGGGGAAUUUUGCGCAAUGGGGGAAACCCUGACGCAGCAACGCCGCGUGAGUGAUGAAGGCCUUCGGGUCGUAAAGCUCUGUCAGAGGGAAAGAAGUGURKGRSGGUUAAUACCCSYUKYACUUGACGGUACCCUCAAAGGAAGCACCGGCUAACUCCGUGCCAGCAGCCGCGGUAAUACGGAGGGUGCAAGCGUUGUUCGGAAUUAUUGGGCGUAAAGCGCGUGUAGGCGGUUUUUUAAGUCUGAUGUGAAAGCCCCGGGCUCAACCUGGGAAGUGCAUUGGAUACUGGAAGACUUGAGUACGGGAGAGGGUAGUGGAAUUCCUAGUGUAGGAGUGAAAUCCGUAGAUAUUAGGAGGAACACCGGUGGCGAAGGCGGCUGCCUGGACCGAUACUGACGCUGAGACGCGAAAGCGUGGGGAGCAAACAGGAUUAGAUACCCUGGUAGUCC